GGUUGACCAAGGGUGUUGAUUAUGCUUCUACAUCAGGAGGUCUGGGGUUCGAAUCUCAGAUAUUGCGAUUUAUUGGUGGAAGUCCCACCCGGAGGUUCUGGUUUCAAUUCCCGGAGAACGUGUCUUAUCGGUCAAGUUUACAUGAGAUCUUCAGCAUGGUGCUGGUGAAACCACUAGAUAUGGAUCUUCAUAGAGAGAUGUAAUAUUUCUCAUAAUUUGUAAUAGAAUAAUAAAAUCAGUGUUAAAAAAAAAAGACUGAUUUGAGCAGGAAGUGAACCAAAUUGAAUGUGUGGUGUUGGUGUUUGAGUAGGUGCAGGAGACGAUUCCACUGUGACAGUAGAUCGCAAAGGAGAGAUUGUAUCUGAAACAACUGCAGGAUUUGUAGUUUUGGGCUGAAAACUUUGUUGCCAAGCAGUUGUCAAAAGCGUGGUAGUUGAUUCUUGCAGGUGAAGAUAGAUAUCUGAGAAAGGAAAGGAUUGCUCAUCAAAGACGACAUGCCUGCUUAUAUAAAAUCUACCUGUGGUAGGAAGAAGACACCUAUAGCCUUUAUAUUUAUCAUUAUACCCAAGAAACACACAUUUUAGAGAACUUGGAUCAAAUUUAUGCUGAGCAUAAUCUCUUAACAUAGGAUAGCAUGCACAUCCAAACACUCUCAAUGCUUGAUACUCUGGUGUCUGUCCAUGAAGCAAUUCAUAAGGACUUUUAGGACUAUCCAAUGAUGUAUGUGGAAGCAAAUUACUUAGGAAAUUUGUUGUGUAGAAUGCUUCAACCCAAUACUUCUAGGAGUUUUGCUCUGAAACAUCAUUGCUAAACCAAGCUCUGUGAUGUGUCUGUGUUUUCUCUCUUUUAAGCCAUUUUGCUGAGGAGUAUAGGGACAACAUAUAUAUUGUUGGAUCCCAUGUUGUUGGAGAUGAUUCAGAAACACAUUGCUUUUAAAUUCUCCUCCACCAUCACAACACACCAAUUUUACUUUGAAACUGAUUUUCAACCAAAGACUGAAAUUUUGCAAAGAUGGAAUAGAACUCUAAUUUCUGCUUUAAUGGAUAAAACCAACAGAAGUGAGAGUAAUUAUCAAUAAAUAUGACAUAAUAUCGAAAUCUUUGAACUGACAAAACAGGAGAAGGACCCCAGAGAUCACAGUGUAUUCUCUCCAAGGGUCUAGUUGCAACAAAAGAGGAAGCUGAAAAUGGUAGUCUACUGCUUUUACCAAGCUGACAAGCUUCACAAAAGGACUUGUUGUUAUUAUUAAUGACAAGCAACUUUGAAGAAGAUAACUGUUGGAGAACUUGUGGAUUUGGGUGGCCUAGUCGUCUGUGCCAAACAUCAGCAGAAGCAGUAGUUUGCCGAGAAGAAUAGAACACCUGAGGAGUUUGGUUCUCCAACACAUACAGUCCAUCAUGGCUGCUUCCCUGAAGAAGAAGCUGCUUUGUUGCCUUAUCAUGCACACACACCGUAUCACAGUCAAACGCAAAUACACAAGGAUAGUCUUUUGUAACCUUUGAGACUGAAAGCAAAGAUUUAGUAAUGUCAGGGCAAACCAAAACAUCUUUAAGAGGAAGAUUACCUGAUGAUGAUGCGAGAUUAGCAGAUCCUGUGUGUGUAAUAGGCAGAAAAUUUCCAUCACCAACCAUUACUGUGUCAGAACCAGUAUAAGACUUAGGUUGCUGGAGAUGGUAUGGAGAAUUGGUGACAUGAGCUGUUGCACCUGUGUCUGGAAUCCAUUCAUGACCUGAGCUCUCUGAAACAUCAGUUAUGCGAAGUACAGUCAAAGCAGAAGGAAGAGCUUCAUAUUGGUAGCUGUUGUCAAAUCGAUGACAACAUAACAAAGCAGGAUGCCCACGCUUGCCACAAAUCUGACAGAGGGGUCUAUCAUCUGAGCUACAUGUGCUUGAGGAAUCACUGUAGUUUGAAAUCUGCUAAUGGAAGCCACGACCUCUUGUAGAGAAAGAUCCUCUGCCUCUGGAACCUCCAAAGCGUCUGUUACCUUGACCUCUUCCUCUAUUAGAGUAGUAAAGACUAGAUGAGGGCUUACAUUGGGUUCUGCAGAGUAAGCUUGCAGCCUAUCAUCAUAGCUAGUAAUCCUUGGAAUGACAUCCGUAAGUGUUUGUUAAGAAAUAUCUAUAGAUCCUUCAAUACUUGUUUUGAUGGGUUCAUAUUCCUUACCUAUACCAUGUAAAGCCGCAAAAAUUUUCAUCUUUUCAGGCACAACACUACCAACGGAAGCUAACUGGUCACAUACGUUCUUAAGGUCCUUAAGAUAGUCUUGCAUAGAUCACAUACGUUCUUAAGGUCCUUAAGAUAGUCUUGCAUAGAUCUAUCUUUCUUUUCUAGAGUUUGGAGACGUCGUUGCAACUCAAAGAGACGAGAGGAUGAAGCUCUAUUAAAGUGAUUUGCAAUAGUUGUCCAUACCUCAUGAGAAGUAGAGCAGUUAACAACAACACUGAGGAUGUCUUCAGCAAAGGAUCCAAGCAGCCAUGACUUAACAACUCUAUCCGUCUUGAACCAUGUCGAAUAUUCUGGGUUUACUGCCAGAGAAGUUGAUCCAUUGAUUCCAGGAACAUCGAUGGUGGAGCUUGGAGCUGUGAUGGUGCCAUUGACAAACCCUAGUAACCCUUGUCCAUCCAAGAAUGACUCGAACUGAGAUUUCCAAAGAAUGUAGUUCUUCUCAGUGAGUCACAGUAACACAGUUUUAAAUUUUUAGAAGAGGAACAGAAUAGAGCUCCAUGGAUCUACAGCCUGGAUGCUCUGAUACCAUAAAGGGAGUUUGAGAUAUGAGAAAAGAUGAACUUUUAAUCUUUCAUUUCGAUAACUGUUAGGGUUUUACAAUGGUGAUAAAUGUGUAUUUAUACACAAAGAUAAAAGCUUGAAAACCCUAGAAGACCAGGACAGGUGUCUUCAUCCUAUUGCAUCCAAUGAAUCAAGGGCAGAGAAUUGAUUACUCAGCUUGAUCACCUCCGUACCAGCUUUCGUCAUUUCUGCAACUCUGUUCUUGUUUUGCUUGUCGUUAUUUGGAUUUGAAGGAGACAACCGUUGACGCUUGGACGACGUCGUUUGUGCACAGGUGGGCUCUAUGGGCUCUUCUUUAGUUUCACGGCCCAUUAUUAAAAAAGUCCACCUCAAAAGUGGGAGCCUGGAGGGCUCGUUUCUGAAGAGCAACGACCGCAUCAACAAAAUCUUUUUUAGUUGGAAUCGCACUCAUCUUCUUGAAAGUCGUCAUCUUGUUCACCAUCUAUCUGCUUUAUCCCCAUCACCAAAUAUAUAUAUAUAUCAAUUACUCUUCUGAUUGUUUUGGACAGAGACAAAAAAACUCCCACUACGCGAUAAGAAAUUUCAACCCGACACCCAAGACCUAACUGGAGUUUCUACAAACGUGUUCAUCAGAUCUGAAAGAAUCUUAUGAAAAUAGACUAAGACUAAGGACAGAGAAACUUACCACAGAUCCAAAGGAGAGUUUCGCCUGAGAGAAAUUUUAUGUAUAGCACGAUGGAGGAGGCGCAACGACCCACUACUCUAGGCCAACCUUUUAUAUCGCACAGACUAAACUAGGGUUCGCCACCACAACGACAACAUGUUUCCAUUAAUUUUCGUAAAGAAAAUUUUAUAUGCGUAUAACUUUCUUUCUUUUUUGUAGGCCUUUUCCAUUAAGAAGAGAUCACAAUUGGUGAAGUUUACAAAAUAAGCCGAAAACGAUGCCACGUUUUAUUGCUACCGGUUCACUUAUUCCACCGGUUAACUCCGGCUAUCUUAUUUUAAUAUCGGUUAUUCCAAUUUCCGGUUUAAAAUCCCUAAUUGUGUGUAAACCGGUUUGGUAUGCCUAAACGGUUUCCACUUCACGUUAUAUGUAAUGGCCACCGCUAAACAUCAACAUCAAUAUCAAUGAAGAUUUGAUUCUCUUUUUCACCUUUCUCUCUCUAUGACUGCGUAACAACCUCCUGAUCAUUCCUCCAUUGGUCGAUCUUCGAAGGUCAUGUUCUUCACAUACUCGCUUCCAGGUCUUUGAUUUCUUCUCUGAAACCGGAUUCACACUGAGAUAUGUAGCCCCAACAUUGUCGUAGUAAAUAACAGGAGCUUUGGGAAGCUGAAUAUGUAGUUCUGUUAACAAGUUGCAGACCCAUCUCAAUUCUGCAGCGGCAUUUGCUAUUGCUCGAUACUCAGCUUCCGCAGGGGAUAACGUUGGAGAAUUAAGGAAAGAGCUGGCUAUGAUUCAACAGAGGUUUCAGUUGAGUCUGCCUCAAGAAAGCUAUUUUUUUUACAUAUACAAACAGAAUGUAAUGGAUGAUGACCGGUCAUUCCGGUAGCACCGUGUUGAUCACGGCGACACAAUUGAGAUUUUCAGCGGAAGUGUUUCCGGUGGCUCUUAAUACCCUCAGAUUCUUUCAAUUCUUUAGCUAAUUGUUUAAGAUCAAAUGUCUUCAGUAAGAUCUCAAAUCUUUGCCAGGUACAAGCAUAAAGAGUUGACAAAAGGGAAGCAUAGGAUGCUGUGUGAUCACAUGUGAAGGAACGAGAUCUAAAAGAGGAAAUGGCCGUUUGGUGUAAGAGAGUCAAGCUUACUCUAUUGGGUAAAUGUUGGGAAGCUCUCCAUCAUGUCACUUUCUCUUAUGGCCGUUAACCUUUAUCUCUCUUUCUCUAGUAUCAACACUUAACCUAGAAUCCCUUAUUAUGUAACCGAGAAUAUCAAAUGAAAAACAAUGAGUUCUUGCAAAAUAUUAUCUCUAUUCUCUCUAGCAACAUGAUUUACUUUUUUAACAAAAAAAAAAAAAAAAAAAAAAAAACAUGAUUUACUUUUAAUCUCACUUCCGCUCAAACACUCUCUUAAUCUCUACUAAACUCAACAUGACCUACGGCCUGUGGCAACCGAAAACAGAAAUUUCGGUCCAGUUAUAAAGGUGGAAGCGAAGAGAACCGACAAUGGAUAUUCACUUGAUGAGUUAUUUGCGCCGGCGACGGUUGGGAGUGAAGGGAGUUUGAGAUAUGAGAAAAGAUGAACUUUUAAUCUUUCAUUUCGACAACUGUUAGGGUUUUAGAAUAUAAUAUGGAAAACUACCCUAAAAACUUGGAGAUUGCGUAAAUUAAUUUGUAAAGUCAAUAUUCAGAAAUUUAUAAGAAACUUAAUCGCUGAUGCUAAUAUUUGAAAUUAAUAAUCCAUAAAAACAUAGAUUACAUAAAUUAAUUAAAUAAGAAUAUUGGUGUGAAUCAAUAUUUUCUCAUUUUCAAAUAUUUGUAUUAAAAAUUUUAAAAAUGGGUAUUUACAUUUUAUUUUAAUGUUUUUGGAAAAGAAAAUAAUCGAAUUUAGAAGAAUGUAUAUUCCAAAAGCUUGUAACAAUUUGAUUUGAAAGAGAUAAAUUUAUAUGGCUCUAAAAAUAUAAUUUGGAGAUAUAGUAACUAUUAUAAUACGUUUUAUUCUAUAAUUCAAAUUUAGUUUAGUGAUAUAUUUUUAAUAUAAUAAAAACUACCCGUUUAAAACAAAAUAUUUCAAACUUUUAUAUCAUUUAAAUUCUGAUUAAAAUUUAAAAUAUUUUAAUCUAUACUGUAAAUAUUUUCUAGAUAUUUACAAAUCUAAAAUCCAAAAAUUAUUUGUUGAAUAUGCUAUAUUUUAAAGGAUGGUAGUAGUUAGUUUAGAUAAUAUAUGACAAAUAUGAUAAAAUUUUAUUAUAUUUGGAAAAUCAAAUUUUUAAAUCUUUUUUUCAUGUGUACUAAUCAGAAUUAAUUAGCAUAGUUUUGUUAAGAAAUUUUUUUAAAAUUAAACUAAAUGAUAAUUUAAUAUUUAAUUAGAUUGAAAUAUCUAAUAAUAUAUUAUGAAAAUAAAUAAGUUUAAAUAUAUCCAGUUUCAAAUUAAAUAGCUUGAUUUGUUAUGGAAUCUUCCUUAAAUGAUUUCCAAAAUAUAGGGUAGUUAUUGAUUUAAUUUUGAUAUUUUUUUUAAUCCAAGAUCCGCGUGUUUAUCCGACUAUACCAACAGGUCAACCCAAGAUCCGCUGGCUUUUUAUGAUUAAAUUAUCUCAAUUGUCCUUUUUUGACCCUUUUUUUUUCUUUCUUCAAAUUUAAAAAAUCCAAUAGCAUACUAUGUAAUAUUUCUACAACUUAAAUGUCUUUUAUUAUUUAGUGAUUCCCAAUUAAUAGUAUAGAUAUCGUGAGGGUGGAAAAAAUUUAUUCUUUAAACCAUAAUAUCCAAAUUAAAUAUAAUAUCAUUUGUUACCAUCUUAUUAAUAUCAUAUGAUCAAUAUACAAUAUAUACAUUAUAUAUAUAUAUAUAUAUAUAUAUGUUCAUAUUUAAAAGGCGUAAUAUAUAUUAAACAUAUUUUAGAAUGAAAACAUAUAAAAUAUUGAUAUAAUCAAUAUCAAAUUUCAAUUUCUAUAUAUAAGAGAUAAAUUGUUAAAAAUGCCCCUUUUUCAAUACCCCUUUUCAAAAAUGCCCCCUUUGAGAGUCCAUUUUUAAGUUUGCCCUCUUUUAAUUUUUAAUGACAAUUUUACCCUUAUUUGAAACAAAAUUAGGUCCACAAAAUACAAAAUAUUUUUGGCGGAAAAAGUGAUCCGCAAUUUUCCCGCCAAAACACUUGUAAAAACUUGUAAAACCUUUAAAAUACCUUGUAAAAUUUUCCGUAAAAAUUAUUCCCGCCAAAAAAAUUUACCGCCACAAGUGAUUCCGCAAUUUUUUUGGCGGGAAAAGUUUUAGCGGAAAAAAUUUACAAUGUAUUUUAAAGGUUUUACAGAGUAUUUACAAGUGUUUUGUAAGGUUUUACAAUGUAUUUUAAAAGAUUUUACAAGGUACUUAUAAGGUUUUAUAAGGUAUUUAUAACUUGUAAAACCUUAUAAAAAACUUGUAAAACCUUAUAAAAUAGCUUGUAAAAUCUUAUAAUAUCUUAUAAAUACCUUAUAAAUACGUUGUAAAACCUUAUAAAAUACAUUGUAAAACCUUAUAAAUACCCUGUAAAAAACCUUUAAAAUACCUUGUAAAAUUUUCCCGCCAAAAAUUUAACGUCAAAAAAAUUGCGGAAUCACUUUUCCCACAAAAAAAAAUUUUUGGCGGGAAAAUUUUUUACGGGAAAAUUUUACAAGGUAUUUUAAAGGUUUUACAAGUUUUUACAAAAUCAAAUUUGUAAUUUUGAUGUGUGCACAUUCUCAUGUUUUCCUUAUAUAUUUGUGAUAUCUUUUAUUAAAAGAAUGGUAAUUUAGUCAUUUUGUACAUAAAAAUGGGUAUUUUUAAAAAUAGACAGGCAAAUGGGGCAUUUUUGAAAAGGGGUAUUGAAAAAGGGGCAUUUUUGUGAGUGUCCCAAAAUAAUAUCUCAGAAACACAGUUUUCCAACUUUUUCUACAUUUUUUUUUUGUUUGUUUUUAUCAUUUGAAAAUAAAAAGAAAAAUCAAACUAUAUUAUGCUAAAUAAUUAAAAACUAAUUUGAAAUAUAAGAAAUGUAUCUCCUAAACACAAGCUUUGGCCCAUUGGUUGAUCAAAGGUUGAUUAAUGCUUCUACACUAAGAGGUCUGGGGUUCGAGUCCCAGAUAUUGCGAUUUAUUAACAAAUUUGCAGAUUAAUGGAGGCAAGUGUGCAGGAGAUCUCCAGCGAUGUACAAUUAUAGCCGUGCGCCAGGAUUCUACGCAGAGAAGGAAGUGUCGCUAGGUCGUGGAUCAUUGAAGGUAUUCAUCAAGAUCAUGAAGAAGGAAGUGUAGUCUGUCGUGGAUCUACUAAGGGUCGGCAGAAAUUGUCAGUUGUAGAAUCGUCUAUGUAACAGUUCUCAUAAUUUGCAAUUAAUAAUAAAUCUAGACGGCAAAAAAAAAA
This 7771-nucleotide long non-coding RNA is filed under the name Arabidopsis lyrata. RNAcentral's name for it is "long non-coding RNA (ALYR_LNC002728)". The record is from RNAcentral. Lineage: Eukaryota; Viridiplantae; Streptophyta; Magnoliopsida; Brassicales; Brassicaceae.